AUCACUCCAAACCCAAUGUGAACCAUACCAAACUGUUGCCUCGGCGGGGUCACGCCCCGGGUGCGUCGCAGCCCCGGAACCAGGCGCCCGCCGGAGGGACCAACCAAACUCUUUUCUGUAGUCCCCUCGCGGACGUUAUUUCUUACAGCUCUGAGCAAAAAUUCAAAAUGAAUCAAAACUUUCAACAACGGAUCUCUUGGUUCUGGCAUCGAUGAAGAACGCAGCGAAAUGCGAUAAGUAAUGUGAAUUGCAGAAUUCAGUGAAUCAUCGAAUCUUUGAACGCACAUUGCGCCCGCCAGUAUUCUGGCGGGCAUGCCUGUCCGAGCGUCAUUUCAACCCUCGAACCCCUCCGGGGGGUCGGCGUUGGGGACCUCGGGAGCCCCUAAGACGGGAUCCCGGCCCCGAAAUACAGUGGCGGUCUCGCCGCAGCCUCUCCUGCGCAGUAGUUUGCACAACUCGCACCGGGAGCGCGGCGCGUCCACGUCCGUAAAACACCCAACUUUCUGAAAUGUUGACCUCGGAUCAGGUAGGAAUACCCGCUGAACUUAAGCAUAUCAA
This 558-nucleotide ribosomal RNA is filed under the name Trichoderma atroviride. RNAcentral's name for it is "eukaryotic LSU rRNA". The stretch from base 177 to 330 matches the Rfam family "5.8S ribosomal RNA". Lineage: Eukaryota; Fungi; Ascomycota; Sordariomycetes; Hypocreales; Hypocreaceae. The record is from RNAcentral.